This 1097-nucleotide long non-coding RNA is filed under the name Olea europaea subsp. europaea. The record is from RNAcentral. Lineage: Eukaryota; Viridiplantae; Streptophyta; Magnoliopsida; Lamiales; Oleaceae.
AUAAAUUUAAUUUUAAGGAUAUUAUUGACCAUAAACAUAAAAAUAAAAGUGUAAAAUGGAAAAUUAAAUAUAUGAGGAUAAAUGAAGGUAUAUUGGACUUAAAGAUAAAUAUGUAAGGGUACGAUUGGUAAUCAAAAGUUUCUCCUCAAUCCCCACUUUUAAUAUAUUGUAGAUAUAUUAGAGAAUUGGUUCUUAAAUUAAAAGAAGGUAAAAUGUUUAGGGAUCCUUGUCAUUUUUCUUCCUUUAAAAGCUCAAAAUCGAGCUGGUUGAUUGUAAAUUAGAUUCUUAAAUGUUAAAGGGUUCUUCGUUUGAGAAUUGAGACACCCCAAUCUACCCAAAUUUGUAGACAGAGUUUUCCCAAGUUCAGCAAAGACAACAUCAAGCAGCCUACUGCAGCUCAUUACCAUGAAAUGUGUCCUACUAACCAUUAGAAGUUAACGCCCUUCAAUACUAGACCCACUUCAACUAUUUUAAAAUAUCAAAUUUAUGCUGUCUGUUGGCCUUGUAAGAGCAUCAUGACACAAUAAAUAAUGGCAUGUUUAUCACAAAAUGCUAAAAAGAAUGAGGUCCCAAACCACAUUCCAUGUGCACCAACUGCUCUACCGAAAAGGGCAUUGAGUUGUGCUUGCUGUCUAUACAAAAUCAAAUCAAAACUGUGAAAAAAACAACAAAAUGAGCAAGUCUGUCUUUUGUUUACAUUAUCCCUGAUCAUAUCCAGUAAAUGUCACCCUUAGUAAUUUUAAUAUUCGGAAACUUGUCCCAGUCCAAAUCAGAUUUUUAAUCUCCUAAAGCUGAAUUUGAAUAAAAAAUUAUGAAUCUUCCAGCCUCAUUCAAAAUUUACAAUCAACGUAAUAUAAAUACACAAUCAUAGAAAUAGGGCUAAGAAAAUGCCAUCACAAGUCAUUUCGAGAACCAAUGCAAAUGAUUGAAAAACGAGUAAAAGAAGCCGACUAUAUGUAUAAGAGAAGCGGUGAUACCGAAUAAGGAGAGAUAUUAGCCGAUGGCUUGUGUCAAACACUGGACCAGGUAAUUGUGGUAUGAUUAGAUGUAGCAGCAGCGGCUUGAAGAAGAAGAUGUGGAGAAGGGUUGAAUUCUAG